GACGAACGCUGGCGGCGUGCUUAACACAUGCAAGUCGAACGGAAAGGCCCUGCUUUUGUGGGGUGCUCGAGUGGCGAACGGGUGAGUAACACGUGAGUAACCUGCCCUUGACUUUGGGAUAACUUCAGGAAACUUGGGCUAAUACCUGAUAGGAUCUCCUGCUGCAUGGUGGGGGUUGGAAAGUUUCGGCGGUUGGGGAUGGACUCGCGGCUUAUCAGCUUGUUGGUGGGGUAGUGGCUUACCAAGGCUUUGACGGGUAGCCGGCCUGAGAGGGUGACCGGCCACAUUGGGACUGAGAUACGGCCCAGACUCCUACGGGAGGCAGCAGUGGGGAAUAGUGCACAAUGGGCGGAAGCCUGAUGCAGCAACGCCGCGUGCGGGAUGACGGCCUUCGGGUUGUAAACCGCUUUCGCCUGUGACGAAGCGUGAGUGACGGUAAUGGGUAAAGAAGCACCGGCUAACUACGUG
Molecule: ribosomal RNA, 468 nt
Filed under: uncultured bacterium
Lineage: Bacteria
Description: partial 16S ribosomal RNA
Rfam family: Bacterial small subunit ribosomal RNA
Source: RNAcentral